GAUAGGAAAAUUUUUAAAAUGGAUCGUAUAUGAGUUGUAAUCGAUACAAAGUUGCUCAUUAUAAUAAAUCAUCUGUAUUCUGAAUUUUUGUCAAUUCCGUGGCAAUUUUUAUCUAGAGUUUAUUAUGUUUACUGAGUGGCAAUGAGUUUUGCAUUCUGUGGGGAACUGUAACUGUAUGGGUUAAAAAGCUUGGUUUAUAACUUUGCAUAAAGCGCCCUUCACAGCCUGUGGCUGGCAGGCACUCUGAGUCCCCUUGGGUGUGGCUCUUCCUACCUCCUCUUUUGCCCAUUUCCUGUCCUCACUUCUUGUCUCACUGCCUCUCUGUUACAGAACUCUACCAGGAAGGACCGAGCUCAGCCCUAUGGAAGUUCUGAGACAAACUGAAAGCAAGCUCUGCCACUCGCUGUAGCAGUAAAAUGGGACCCCAGAUCCACCACGAUGUGCCUAGGAAGUGAAAUGACAGUGCCUUUAACUCUUCAAUGUGCGAAGAAACAGAAAAAUCUUGUUAGCUGCAGUUCUAAAAAUUCAGGACAUUUGCUUUGUCCUAAGAUGAACUUUGUCAUUUACUUCCACGGUAUGGUUUGACCUGGGAGAUCAUUUCAUCCCUACACUCUGAGAAAAGGAACCAUUGUUUUCAAGAGCCCUCAUCCAGUGGCUGAUGGAAGCAGAGACAGACAUCCACAGAUAUACGCUGAGCUGAAAUCGGGAAUUUAGUUGAAGAGAGUGAAGAAUGAAGAGCAAAGGGGUCUGUACCAGGUUGGAGAAACCCACAGGAACAGUUGACCUGAACAAGGGAGAGCACAUCGACCCCAGAUGCUGUCUGGGAGGCCAGUACAGUACUAAUCCAGACCCCUGAACAUGGAUGUCAAUAAGAAGGCCUCUGCAUUCCAGGGAGCCUCUGGUAGUGGAUUAGUAUUUUUUUCCCUGGUGUAAGAAGGGACUUUGAGAGCCCAUUCCAUGUGAAGGGAUGCACUCUGGCCCUGGACACAUGGGGAAGGGCCCAGGCCCAGCACAGGAAG
RNAcentral lists this long non-coding RNA (1019 nucleotides) under Cricetulus griseus (Chinese hamster). RNAcentral's name for it is "lncRNA (ENSCGRG00015031172.1)". The record is from RNAcentral. Lineage: Eukaryota; Metazoa; Chordata; Mammalia; Rodentia; Cricetidae.